CGCGUCCCUGCGCACCAAUCGUGGGCGCGCUCGGACGCCCCUCCCCCGGGAUCCCUCCUGGGCCCACCCCCCACCUGCGAGCACUUGGGGAUCUAAAAGCUACAGGUGGGGACACCUCUGACCCCGCCCUGGGAGGCGGAAAAAGCCUUCAACCUGGCCUUGAGCAGGGCUGCUGGGACUUGAGUGGAGCUCUCAAAACCCCCAGCUCUUUUGAAAGAGCCGAGGACUGGGACGGAAAGGACGCAGGGGACUGAGUUCUAACCCCGGAACAGAUGAUCAUCUUUCUGAACCCGUUUCCCUUCUCUGUAAAAUGGGAAUGAUUCCCUCCUGACAAGAAUGAAAGGAGACCCAAACCGCGCUUUUUGCGUUUCACACACAAACGGAAUUCCGAACAGGCCACUGUUUCAAAGCUUGUGUAGAGAAUUUUACCCUGCUCCAUUGAAGAUGUCUUCCUCCAGAGAGCCUGAUCCAGUCCCACCGUUUCGCACCAAGGAUGGAAAUGGCUUUGAGACAUGAGAACUGGAGACCACUAAGGCCUUUCUUGGUACUGGCUCAUAUUACCAAGACCCCUUUUCCUGGGAUAUUCCCUGUCCCUCUGCUAAGCCAUUACACAUCCAUUACACCAGGGAGGUUCACUGAGUUACUUGUGGCUCAGCCUAAAUGCGGACAAUUGGGAACUAAUAGCAGAGCAAGACCUAAACAGAGCAAGACUGUGAAUCUGAGCUUGCAGCGUCAAUCUGUGGUAUAGGGACAUUAAAAACAACACAAAAACAAAACAACUACUCCACUGAGCACCAAUACUUCACUUUUCCUCUGAUAGGACUUUCCUGGUCUCACUGAUCCAACAGAGCAGCAGAUGGACAAACAGAUGGACUCUACAGCUAAGUGGAAUAUCAAAGGUAGAGGGGUGAUUCUGUGAGACUGAUAGGCCUGACUAUUCUCAAUUCUCCCCACUGCAGUGUU
This 963-nucleotide long non-coding RNA is filed under the name Homo sapiens (human). Its description in RNAcentral is "HSALNT0267723". The record is from RNAcentral. Lineage: Eukaryota; Metazoa; Chordata; Mammalia; Primates; Hominidae.